UACAGAGGGUGCGAGCGUUAAUCGGAUUUACUGGGCGUAAAGCGUGCGUAGGCGGCUAUUUAAGUCGGAUGUGAAAUCCCUGAGCUUAACUUAGGAAUUGCAUUCGAUACUGGAAAGCUAGAGUAUGGGAGAGGAUGGUAGAAUUCCAGGUGUAGCGGUGAAAUGCGUAGAGAUCCGGAGGAAUACCGAUGGCGAAGGCAGCCCCCUGGGAUAACACUGACGCUCAUGCUCGAAAGCGUGGGUAGCAAACAGG
This 253-nucleotide ribosomal RNA is filed under the name uncultured Acinetobacter sp. RNAcentral's name for it is "partial 16S ribosomal RNA". It matches the Rfam family "Bacterial small subunit ribosomal RNA", at positions 524 to 776 of the family's 1533-position model. Lineage: Bacteria; Pseudomonadati; Pseudomonadota; Gammaproteobacteria; Moraxellales; Moraxellaceae. The record is from RNAcentral.